ACUUUUUUCAUAGUUUGGCUGGUCCUGCGACUUAUAGUCAGGUACGACUUAUUUAUCAAAAUUAAUUUGACAUGAACCAAGAGAAAUUAUCCAAAAGAAAACAUUACCAUCUACACAUAAGAGAGGUUGCUCUAUGCUGCUCAGUUCUUGGUUCUAAAUAAAUGCAGCAUAGUCCAGUGCGACUUAUAGUCCGAAAAAUACGGUAUAUUGUUUACGAUUGUGAUCGCAGAAUAAAAACACUUUGCUGUUAUUUCAAUAGAAAAAUAGACCAUUGCAAUUAUGGAAUUAGUGGAAUUACUAGGAAUUUCACUUUUAUAAUAUUUGUUUGUUUUAGCUGUUUGCAUUAAGUAGACAGAAAGAUUGCGUAAGUCUCUGGUGUUUAUUUAUAUAAUAAAAAGCCUAUAAUAAAUCAGAAUACUAGAUUAGGUAAAAUACACCACGCAUGUGUCCACAUUCUGUUGAUUUGUGCUAACUGGAGAAUGUAAUACCUCAAAUACAAAAGAACAUUUCUCAAAGACAACAA
Carassius carassius (crucian carp) is the source of this 523-nucleotide long non-coding RNA. RefSeq lists it as uncharacterized. The transcript has 2 exons. Lineage: Eukaryota; Metazoa; Chordata; Actinopteri; Cypriniformes; Cyprinidae. The record is from RefSeq and is a predicted model, not a curated record.